RNAcentral lists this ribosomal RNA (436 nucleotides) under Salmonella enterica subsp. enterica serovar Anatum. RNAcentral describes it as "partial 23S ribosomal RNA". It matches the Rfam family "Bacterial large subunit ribosomal RNA", at positions 2495 to 2925 of the family's 2925-position model. The record is from RNAcentral. Lineage: Bacteria; Pseudomonadati; Pseudomonadota; Gammaproteobacteria; Enterobacterales; Enterobacteriaceae.
AGAGUUCAUAUCGACGGCGGUGUUUGGCACCUCGAUGUCGGCUCAUCACAUCCUGGGGCUGAAGUAGGUCCCAAGGGUAUGGCUGUUCGCCAUUUAAAGUGGUACGCGAGCUGGGUUUAGAACGUCGUGAGACAGUUCGGUCCCUAUCUGCCGUGGGCGCUGGAGAACUGAGGGGGGCUGCUCCUAGUACGAGAGGACCGGAGUGGACGCAUCACUGGUGUUCGGGUUGUCAUGCCAAUGGCACUGCCCGGUAGCUAAAUGCGGAAGAGAUAAGUGCUGAAAGCAUCUAAGCACGAAACUUGCCCCGAGAUGAGUUCUCCCUGAGACUUAGAGUCUCCUGAAGGAACGUUGAAGACGACGACGUUGAUAGGCCGGGUGUGUAAGCGCAGCGAUGCGUUGAGCUAACCGGUACUAAUGAACCGUGAGGCUUAACCUU